Molecule: ribosomal RNA, 199 nt
Filed under: uncultured bacterium
Lineage: Bacteria
Description: partial 16S ribosomal RNA
Rfam family: Bacterial small subunit ribosomal RNA
Source: RNAcentral
CGGAUUGGAGUCUGNAACCCGACUCCAUGAAGCUGGAUUCGCUAGUAAUCGCGCAUCAGCCACGGCGCGGUGAAUACGUUCCCGGGCCUUGUACACACCGCCCGUCAAGCCAUGGGAGCCGGGAGUGCCUGAAGUACGUGACCGCAAGGAGCGUCCUAGGGUAAGACCGGUGACUGGGGCUAAGUCGUAACAAGGUAAC